UGCGAGUCAUAUGUUCUUCGUGAACAUGGCGUACUGCUCAGUAACACGUGGAUAACCUGCCCUUGGGGCCGGGAUAACCCCGGGAAACUGGGGAUAAUACCGGAUAACGCAUAUCUGCUGGAAUGCUUUAUGCGUAAAAUGGAUUUGUCUGCCCAAGGAUGGGUCUGCGGCCUAUCAGGUAGUAGUGGGUGUAAUGUACCUACUAGCCUACGACGGGUACGGGUUGUGAGAGCAAGAGCCCGGAGAUGGAUUCUGAGACAUGAAUCCAGGCCCUACGGGGCGCAGCAGGCGCGAAAACUUUACAAUGCGGGAAACCGUGAUAAGGGGACACCGAGUGCCAGCAUCAUAUGUUGGCUGUCCAGAUGUGUAAAAUACAUCUGUUAGCAAGGGCCGGGCAAGACCGGUGCCAGCCGCCGCGGUAACACCGGCGGCCCGAGUGGUGAUCGUGAUUAUUGGGUCUAAAGGGUCCGUAGCCGGUUUGGUCAGUCCUCCGGGAAAUCUGACGGCUCAACCGUUAGGCUUUCGGUGGAUACUGCCAGACUUGGAACCGGGAGAGGUAAGAGGUACUACAGGGGUAGGAGUGAAAUCUUGUAAUCCCUGUGAGACCACCUGUGGCGAA
This 619-nucleotide ribosomal RNA is filed under the name uncultured archaeon. RNAcentral describes it as "bacterial SSU rRNA". It matches the Rfam family "Archaeal small subunit ribosomal RNA", at positions 52 to 670 of the family's 1478-position model. The record is from RNAcentral.